This 377-nucleotide ribosomal RNA is filed under the name uncultured Plasmodiophoridae. RNAcentral describes it as "bacterial SSU rRNA". It matches the Rfam family "Eukaryotic small subunit ribosomal RNA", at positions 1427 to 1806 of the family's 1831-position model. Lineage: Eukaryota; Endomyxa; Phytomyxea; Plasmodiophorida. The record is from RNAcentral.
UGUUUAGCCAGUGGAAGUUUGAGGCAAUAACAGGUCUGUGAUGCCCUUAGAUGUUCUGGGCUGCACGCGCGUUACAAUGUUUGGCUCAACGAGUUUUUUCUUGGCCGAAAGGUCUGGAUAAUCUUUUGAAAUCCAAACGUGCUGGGGCUUGCGGCUUGCAAUUAGCCGCACCAACGAGGAAUUCCUAGUAGACGCAAGUCAUCAACUUGCAUCGAUUACGUCCCUGCCCUUUGUACACACCGCCCGUCGCUCCUACUGAUUGAAUGCUCCGGUGAAAAAUCGGGAGAAAUUUCGCCCGCCAGCAAUGGCGAGUGAGAGUUUGAACUUUUUUAAAUUGUAGUAUUUAGAAGAAGGAGAAGUCGUAACAAGGUUUCCGU